GGGAUAACACUUGGAAACAGGUGCUAAUACCGUAUAACACUAUUUUCCGCAUGGAAGAAAGUUGAAAGGCGCUUUUGCGUCACUGAUGGAUGGACCCGCGGUGCAUUAGCUAGUUGGUGAGGUAACGGCUCACCAAGGCCACGAUGCAUAGCCGACCUGAGAGGGUGAUCGGCCACACUGGGACUGAGACACGGCCCAGACUCCUACGGGAGGCAGCAGUAGGGAAUCUUCGGCAAUGGACGAAAGUCUGACCGAGCAACGCCGCGUGAGUGAAGAAGGUUUUCGGAUCGUAAAACUCUGUUGUUAGAGAAGAACAAGGAUGAGAGUAAAAUGUUCAUCCCUUGACGGUAUCUAACCAGAAAGCCACGGCUAACUACGUGCCAGCAGCCGCGGUAAUACGUAGGUGGCAAGCGUUGUCCGGAUUUAUUGGGCGUAAAGCGAGCGCAGGCGGUUUCUUAAGUCUGAUGUGAAAGCCCCCGGCUCAACCGGGGAGGGUCAUUGGAAACUGGGAGACUUGAGUGCAGAAGAGGAGAGUGGAAUUCCAUGUGUAGCGGUGAAAUGCGUAGAUAUAUGGAGGAACACCAGUGGCGAAGGCGGCUCUCUGGUCUGUAACUGACGCUGAGGCUCGAAAGCGUGGGGAGCGAACAGGAUUAGAUACCCUGGUAGUCCACGCCGUAAACGAUGAGUGAUAGGUGUUGGAGGGUUUCCGCCCUUCAGUGCUGCAGCA
Molecule: ribosomal RNA, 727 nt
Filed under: uncultured bacterium
Lineage: Bacteria
Description: bacterial SSU rRNA
Rfam family: Bacterial small subunit ribosomal RNA
Source: RNAcentral